This is a long non-coding RNA of Helianthus annuus (common sunflower), 1733 nucleotides long. RefSeq lists it as uncharacterized. The transcript is spliced from 8 exons. The record is from RefSeq and is a predicted model, not a curated record. Lineage: Eukaryota; Viridiplantae; Streptophyta; Magnoliopsida; Asterales; Asteraceae.
CACUAAAAUACCUAAUCUAUUUGGUUUUACCCUAAAAGAUACUCCACACCGCUCCAACUCUCUGCAGCCACCAUCUUCAUCUCUUAUGUGAUUAGUUUUUUAGGGUUUAUCUUUUCUUCACAUAGCCAAGAAAACCCUAACAUCCAUCUCUUUCGUCAUUCCCUUUCAUUGAUCUACCAGAGAAUCAUUAUCAAUAGAAUAUUCAAGCUUCAAUCAUCAGGUAAGAAAUCUUUUUUCUACAGGACUUGAUGUCAAUUCAGUUGGUAGGAAAAGUAGUGAUAGUCAAGAAGAUUAUGUGGUGGCACCAAAACAGAAAGAGGUUAAAUUGGUUGAAGCAAUUCAUGGAUCAAGUUUCUACAGCUUCAUUCGAAGCUUUCUGGUAUGAAGUUUUCUUAUCUUGGGGAUUUCCGGCACCGCUGAUUUGUAACCGUGACACACCUGUGUCUCAGGUGCUCUAUAUUGUUGGUUGCUGGUGCAAUUUCUUGAUUUUAUUUUACAUGAGCAUUAAGAAAUCUGGAAGAAAUUCAAAAGGGUCGUCGUGGUUGUAAGCCUCGCUAGAAGAUCUUCAUUAAGAUGAAUGGAAGUUCUAUUAGUUGUAUUUGCAUUUUGAAUGUUACCAAAUAUAUAAACAUUUAUAUAUUAGUUUUUAUCUUAGUGAUUAUUGGGUUUUAUGUGCAGUAGUAUAGCAAGGAUAGAAAGAAGUGUAAAAAAGCAAGCAAAAUCAGGCGCAUAAGAUGUUGGAUGAUGCAAUGGUCCAGCAAGCAGGCAGGCAACUAUGACUUAAGUUUUGUAUUUGCUCAUGUAUCAUAAGAAUGGAAUGGGCCAUAAAUUAUUAUAGGCACGUAAGGUGAAGAAGUUUAAUUUAUAUUCCAUAAGAAUGGUAAGUUGAACUCUAUAGCCAACCCGUGAUUCAAUUUAUGAAAAGUUAGUAUUCUUUUAAAGAUAUAAAUUCACCCACUUGACUCUUGAGCCAUUGAAGAUAAAUCGAAGUAAAAUAACCCGGGUCAGUCCAGCUCUAAUUAAAUUGGUCAAAUUUCCCUACAGGCUCUUUGAAGGCUUUGUGGAUAGGAUUGCGGUGAUACUUGGCUCUCUACAGGCUCUUUGAAGGCUUUGUUUUCAAUGUAGUUGCGGCCAUUGAACAUGAGGUUCGUGAUGGUUUUGACAUUUUGAACAUCUCAAUUGGGCCCAACAACCCUCUGGCUACCACAAGGACUACUUUUCUGAACCCGUUUAAUGCUGCACUUAUAUGAGUUGUAAAAGAUGGAGUUUUUGUUGCACAGGCAACUGAAAACAGUAGCUCAUUUGCCGAAACGAUGGUAUCUUAUAGUCCUUAGAUUGCAUCUGUAGCUGUUGUGGUUGAUGACCGAAGAUAUAAGAACCAUUUAACACUAGGAAACGGGAAAAUCCUAGCUAGCAUCGACAUGUCACACCCAAAGAUCUUAUAGCAUAUAAAUAGCUGAUAGCUUAAGCUUGCUUCGGUGUGGGGGCUCCGGCAAUUUUCCAGUAACUAGAAGAUAAAUCAAGUGAUGGGUCUUUCCAAGCUCACUCCCUAUGAUACCUAUGUAUGUUCCAAUUGGUUUGUAUAAAAAAAUUAGAUGGAUUUGAACCAGUUUAUCGUUCAUUUACAUAAACUGGUCAUACCCAUGGCAUGUAUUAAGAACCUUAGAAUAAUUUUUAUAUGUACACGAAUCAGUUGAGAAAUUCAUGAUUGGGAGCUACAUUUUUCAGUUUAA